This 458-nucleotide ribosomal RNA is filed under the name uncultured bacterium. RNAcentral describes it as "bacterial SSU rRNA". It matches the Rfam family "Bacterial small subunit ribosomal RNA", at positions 29 to 524 of the family's 1533-position model. The record is from RNAcentral.
AACGAACGCUGGCGGCAUGCCUAACACAUGCAAGUCGAACGGGAUCCUAGCUUGCUAGGUGAGAGUGGCGGACGGGUGAGUAACACGUGGGAAUCUGCCUUUUGGUUCGGGAUAACCGCGGGAAACUGCGGCUAAUACCGAAUGCCCUCGAGAGAGGAAAGAUUUAUCGCCAGAAGAGGAGCCCGCGUCCGAUUAGGUAGUUGGUGGGGUAAAGGCCUACCAAGCCGACGAUCGGUAGCUGGUCUGAGAGGAUGAUCAGCCACACUGGGACUGAGACACGGCCCAGACUCCUACGGGAGGCAGCAGUGGGGAAUAUUGGACAAUGGGCGAAAGCCUGAUCCAGCAAUGCCGCGUGAGUGAUGAAGGCCCUAGGGUUGUAAAGCUCUUUUACCAGGGAUGAUAAUGACAGUACCUGGAGAAUAAGCUCCGGCUAACUCCGUGCCAGUAGCCGCGGUAAU